UUAAACUCCAACUCAUAUUGAGGUAGGGUGUAGGUCUGUGCCUCUGCAGACACAAGGAUUUUGUUCAUUGUGAUUACAGCAGGUUUUAUUAAAAAUCUGAAUGAAGAUUUGUUUCCCUGAAGCUCUAGCUUGCUGACAGCUCUGGGAGAAGGAUGAAUGACAGCAUCAAACCUCAUCAGCCCAGAAAUGAAGAAUGCCAACAACUUGUCUAACCUGUAGAUCAGAGGUUGCAUGAUUCACUUGAAUUAAUACAAUUGGAAUCUGAGCAUUUCUUUAAAACAACAGUCUGACCAACUUAAGCAGCUUUCAAGGAUGGAGAACCAAAGCCAACCCCACUGCAGCAUUUAGAAACUUGCUCUACUGGUCAGUCACCUUCACUGUCAAAAUAUUUGUACAGAUUUUCUUUUUCCUCCAUUAUAAUUUAUUUCUUACUGCCUAUUUUUAAAGGCCUUAAGUUAUUUUGGGCACACUGGUGUACCAACCCAAUACCACUUCAGUCUCUGUUCAUACUGUGAAAACCUCCUAACCAACAGGUCUUGAAUCACUCCUAUGUUCUGUGCAGAAACUAGGUGCAAAUUCAAACCCAACGUUUAACAUGAGAAAACAUCAGGUCAAGCAGGAAAGAGCAAAGAAUUACAAAGCCGAUUUUGGCCAGAGGGGAGAGGAGAGACAGAGAAACAAGCAAGAUAAGUUGUGGGGUUUCGGGAGGAAAAAAAACCCACACACAAGCAAACACUCCCCACCCCAGUUCCCAGAAAAUCCAGUGUUUGCCUCUGGUAAUGCUGUUUCCCCUCCUGCCUUCCACAGGUAGCAGCCACAGCAAGUCACUCCUCAGAUGCUUCCAGAGUCACUGUUGUCACUCGUACUCACUGUCACACACCAUCAGCGCUCGCUGGGCCAGGCACACACAUUUCUACAGACAUUGCUCUGGACAAUAAAAUGCAAAGAGUGGCUACAGGCAGCAGCUGCAAAGCCUGUUUCUGCGACCUCUCCCUCCCUAGUGUUUACAUGGGAAGGAUGGAAUGCCAUAGAGCAUACCCUCUGAGGUACAGUUGACUAGAACAGCUUUGCAAAGCCAAUCUCAAAACAUCUUUCCCACGUUUUUGGGAGCUGCAUUUAUUUAAAUGAUCAUCUUGAAGUAUUAAAAUCCUCACUUCCUCAUUUUAGCAUUAAAAACAAAACAGCAACUAAACCACUGGGAAAAACUUACUUGACAUGAGAUGUCUGACCCCUCUGACUCCCACUCAGAGCAGCGAUCCAGUACUGACACGCCUCCCCAUGCACAAACAGGGGACCCGAGGAGAGGAGGGACAGCAAAAAACAACUGAAACUCCAUCCAAACAACGAUACUUGUGGUACAAAGGAAGAGGACACAGGGAGGACACAACAGAGCUCAUGAUGAAGGACUAGCCUGUGAUACUACAAAGGCAAGGUCUUCCCUCCUAGUGCUUCUCGGAGGAAUCACAUCACACCUGUCCCUGGGAUCAAUCCUUGCUUCAUCACACUAACUUAAAUGGAGUUAUCCUGACUUGCACCAAUGUGAGAUUGGAACACAACUCUUGAAGUAAGUUUUAUGUUUUCUUGUGUUGUUUUAAUGCCAAUAAACAGGAAAUAGUUUUCUCUCUGACUCUCUUGGGACAUGUCACACUCCUUACACCAGAUCAGCUAUUAAGAGGCAGUGACUGUCCAGCAUAGGAAGGAACAUCUAGAUAUCCAUAUCAACUCUGCUACUUGGCUACCAAGAAAGAGGGAUAAAGAUUUAAAAGAGAAAGUAGGUAGAAACAACAGUUUUGGAAAAAGUUGAAAAAAACAAGGGCUCUGCAAGGAAAAAAAGUAACUUUUCCUAUAAGUCUAUUAUAGAAAACACUGAGAGUUUCACAUAAUUCCAGAGGCCAAGAGAGAAUGAAUCUGUAACUAGUCUGUGAUUUAGCAUUUCCAAUGCCUCAAUAAAAAUCUAUUUCAGUAGAGAAAAAGAAAUAAAAUAUUGAGGAGCAUUUGAAAUGAGAACCAUAAAAAAGCAAGAAAGACCACAAACAGAAGUUCAUUAAAUUAUGUUCUCUUCCACACAGAAGUCUGAAACAUGGAGAGAACUGGAAACCAGAUUUUUAUCAAACCAUCUCUGGAGGAAGUAGAUAACACAAUUCAGAAAAUGGGAUAAAGAUUUGGGAGUGCCGUCAGCAGAUUUAGGGAGAGGAAAGGGAAAGCACACAACCAAAAAAAAAAUCCCGUAAGUGUAAAAAGACUUCAAGAAUAUGGAAAACAUUUCCAAGUGCAGACUUAAAAUUAGAUAAAGAGAGGAGUCAAGAACUUUUCACCUUAAGUGUCUUGCUUCACAGAGGGGAAAAGGUGCAGGUGUGCCUGAAAUACAGGAACAUCUGGACUUUGUUAAGUCCUGGUUAUGCAAGCACUGAUCAUCUUAAUUAACCAGGCUUUGAGAACUGUCAGGAGGACAAAGAUUAAUUCUGUUUAACUCCAUGAAUAACACUUUUUAAGAACAAAAGGGUUCAGUCUGCACAACAGCUUCAUCAAGAAAGAUACACUUCUUAUUCCUACAGGGAUCCAGUAAAGAAGAGGAAAAGAUACUGGAUAAAAACUUUAAAGAGAAGAUGAAAAUGUACCUUCUUUUAAGCAGCAACUUCAUACAAAUAUACAUGACUGCAACUGUGCAGAUACAACUCAGCCCUCAAAAAAACACCAAAGCAACCCUUCAACCCAAAAAACUAAAACAAACCUUAUGUCAGGAUCUUUUUUCUGUAUGCUCAAGUAUUUUCCCAUGUUUCUGCUCACAAGCUUGCUGUGUCCUCAUCCAUAGCAAGUUCCUAUGACUACCUGCUCAGUGAGCCCCAUGCUACCCCCUGUUCUUGCAAGGCCACUGCCAGCCCUCCUCAGAAAGUUAAGUGCUCCCCUAGUGAGAACACCCGUCCUGUGAAGCAGAGUCCAUUUCAUUUCAUUUUAAUUUCAUUUAUUGAAAAGCCUUUUCCAAUUUAGCCUGAGUAAGCUUCUUUCCAUGGCUGUCUGCCCAAAUAUCUCUGAUCUUACAUGCUUUAUCCCUGGUCCAACUGCUCACUUAACCUAAACUGGCUCAUUUUCUAGUGUGCUUCUGGCACUCACAUCACAGGCCAGGAGGAAUUGAGCCCUUGCAUCCUCCUCCCUGAAGGUGAAUUGGAAGUUCAAACAAGAGCUUAGCCUAAGACUAGCUGUCCUGAGGAUUUAAUUCUGCAUCUCCAUCUGUAUUUUACACUGAGCUUUCACCAAAGGUGUUGUUUUCCUAUUUCCUUUCAUGCUACUGUUUCAGUAGUUUUGGGAGCUACCUCUCUAUUUCACUCUGUCAUCAGGGAACUGGGGACCAUUUUCUGCAGUGAAACUGCUUUGUUCAACAUCCAAUCAUACCUACAAGAUCACAAAUAAGUAAGUAAAUAUGACAAACAGCAGAGUUUCCCAUUUAUCUACAUUGGCACUCACACUCCUUUUGUUUUGCUACUCCAUUUUGUUCUCUCUCAGGUGUAAACACAGUGCCAACACAUUACACUGCUUUGUUAACCAGCCAUGAUAAUACAGCUUUGAUGUUACUCAAAGUUUAACUUCACUGAAGUUGUGUUUAACGUGCCAUGAACAGAAUCACCUUGUGCAUCACAUCCUGCCUAGCUGUUGCUCUACCCUGCAAACAGACCUCUGCCACCAUACCUUCAGGUUAUUGCCCUAAAUUUGCAUUUAUAUCAGUCAACUGGAACUUAGGGUUUCUUACAGUAUGGCAUUGUUAUUACUCCAUUGUAUUGCUAUCUAAAUAUUAUGCCACUAAGUUCACCUUUGAAGACAACUUUCAUGUAUUUGACCAGUAUUGACAAAAAAGAAUUCAGUAACUUGUUCUGCCAUAAACACAUUUUUAAUAGCACCCUACCCUUUUUUCUAAACACUUUGAAGCUGCAGUGGGAACAAAGGAUUACCCAGAGAAUGGGCACAAUACAGAAGCAAUGCUCAAAGUAUUAUAACAUUAUUUUAUUAUUAUUAUUUUAAAUAAUAGUAUUAUUUCUAAAAACAGCAUCAGCCACAAUAAAUGCUAAGGCACUACAGUACAAUACAGACCCACACUGCUUACAAGAUUAACACAAAGGUUUUUGUCAGAUAAAAGCACUUUAGAAAAUUCAUAUGUGUGAUAUUUUCUCUUACAUUACAUAUGAAAAUAUCAAGACAUUAGUGCAUAAUAAAAUAGUAAAACAAUAGUACCUUUGCACAUUGUAUUAGCCUGGGCCUGUAAGAAAUUACAUGACCAAGACUAGCAAGACUAUGUGCUCUAGCUAAUAAUCUGCACAGCUACACACAGGAAAAGACUUUCCCCACCUUUUCAGGUGCCAUUGUCUUAGUUUUUAGGGUAAGGAGAGGGAGUUCAUAUACUUUACAGAUUGUGUGGACCAACAAGACCUAGUCUUCCCCAGGAUUACAGUCCUUGCAGUCACACAGUGAAACAGAAAUUGGCAGCAAUAGCUGGAGAAGGAGCUGGAGAAAGGGCAGGUAUUUUGAAGGAUGGUCAGGAGCAAGUAAUUUAGGCAUGUGAGAGGGUAACUGUCCUUGACAUUUGCAAACUGGCAAGCACUGUACAGCAGUGUCCAGGCUGCAACUAUAAAAUACUUUAAGUACUGCAGCUAGAGUUUAGCAGUGGUUCCCUAUUUGGUCACCCAGAACUGAAAGUCUUUAAAUAAAUACUUUUACAAACUACAGAUGUACCGGUGAGCAUGUCCAGCUUUUGUAUCCUUCACAUACCCUGUGGCUAAUGUUUUACCCUGGACACUGGCUACCCAUUGUCAACGUAAUAAGAAGUCCAAGCAUUUAAAAAUGAUGAGAGCUAUUCAUACAGCACUGGGGAAGAACAAAGGGACAAUAAUGAUGGUGUUGCACGUACUGCACAGCCUGACCAGCAUCAGAGAAGUGUUGAAGAGCCUGAGGCUGCCAGUCUCUUGCUCCACCAGAUGCCCUGUCUACAGCCACCCACCGCCCGCAACGUCUGCUGCAGGUUCUGCAGAAGCCAACGUCAAAUACUUGGGGAAAGUUGAAUUUUCACAAUGUGACACGAAUGAGAAUUUAGCUUCAGCUGGUUUGUGAGUACAGCUGCUACCCAUAAACCUAUCUUUUUCACACUCAGGUGAUACAUUACCACGCCCUACAAAUAUCUGUGACUUGUUUGGCACAUGACAUUUCAAAAACAAGAACAGCUUUGUAAUUAUGGUUUUGUUACAAGUAGUGGUAACCACGAAAUGUAUUUAAGGAGAUUUGCUGUAUAUGCAAUUCUAUCAAGCACAUACAUCCCUCCCCUAAACAGAGCCUAUUUGCCUUCAUUAACCAUCCCAGUGUCCCCCCAGCUUUUUGGAGGGCACAUAACCAUCUCCUCUCUUUGUCACUCCCUGCCUACACCAGGAGUUGCCUAACCUUCUGUCUGUCAGUGCUUCACUCCUUCUCCAUUGACAUCUCUAAAGUCUCCACCACAGACUUUGUACCUUUUAAAUAGUACCAGACGCAUAAAAGAGUUUCAGCAUCUGCAUAUGCUAAGGGCCUUCAGUUCCUCAGUAAAGUCGCCCUACAGGAAGCAAAUGCAAAUUACUGCCUUCUAGACAUAAGGCACGGUCCUGGGGACCUUAUUAUUAAAUCAUUAACCUUCGCCUUUCAUUUUACCCAUGUUUUCAGUAUUCAAAUGUUGCUUGAAAUAGACAACCUUAGUACUUCCCCAUGCUGCAAUUUGUUACCAAGUGCUUCAUUCCAAUGAUUGAACAGUGACAAACAAAUGAGAGUACCAGUUCUCAAGCAACAAGAAAGCAGUUCAAUAAUUAUUGCAAAAGUUAACAAUGGUGUCCCCAUAAAACCUUGCAAAAAUCUGUUUAUCAUUCCUAAGCAAUCCCUAAACCAAGAUUUUCAAAGAGCCCUAAAUACCAUUUUCUCUGCCUUCAAGGCUGUAGCUCUGCACCCUACUGAUGCUCCAGUUUAUCAGAAGAUGAUGCUAACCAUGGUUGGUAUCUUAUCUCUGUAAUCCCCCAGAGUUAGGCCAAGGUUAGCAUCGUACUACGGGUAUGUAAAAAUGUGUUUUGCUGUGGAAAGAACCACAUGUAAUUUGGUGAAAAGCCUAAAUAAUUGGUAUGUAAUAAUUAUGGUUUCUAGCACCAAAUGUUUGUUUUCCCGGCGGGGGGGGGGAGGAAAACCAAAAUUUUGUAAGAGCCCUUACCUAUUAAACAUCAGACUAAAAAUUGGCUCAUACACAUAUUAACAUAUUAGAUAUACAACCCUGAGAUGUGUGGUCAAAAAGCAUGUAUAGCUACUGAAAUCAGUGGGAGGGAGUUUUGCUGUUGAUUUGGACAGAAUGAAAAUAAAUCUGGUUUUCCCCUUCAUCAACCCUUCCUGUCCUCUUGAUGUACCCUUUCCUACAGAGGAGAAAACAGCAAUAUCCCUGGCAGGCAAGGUGAAAGGCUGAUGUAGCCCAGCAUCUUCCCAUCAGCCCAUUUCAAGCAGGAGACACUUCAAAGAGGACACAGAAAGCAGAGAUGCUUCCCCAAAACAUUCUCCCAGCCUUUGUGCCUCUCAGCCUUCCCCUGAGCAUGGACCCCAAGAAAGUCUGUUUGGUCAAACCUCCAGCGGUGGCUACAGGUGCUUUUCAUGACUGAAGUCCAGCACACACCCAAGCCUCAGCAAACCCUUUGAAACUGCCUGCUGUGGUGAGCCAGCACGACACUCAAGAGACAAGAACUGCUCAUCAGCCUUCACAGCUCCUGGUCCUGUCCUGCCAGCCCUCCAGCCUAGAGCAGCCUCCUCAGGAGAGAGCCAUGCUGCUGAACAGAGCUCCCUCCGCAGGAAGGGCAGAGCCCCUCGGCUCCUCCCCAGUGCCCAGGCAGCAUCGGUGCUGCCACCUCCACCCAAACACCUCACCAAGCCCACAGGGGUUCUAGUAACAGCAAAAGGAAAGCGCCUCUUGUCCUCUCUUAAAGCUCCCUUUGCAUUAAGUUCUUCUUUCAAAAAUUUUCCCAUACUUACUUACUAAAGCAAACAAAAAAAAUCUGGGACUUUUUUCCUAUUUAGAGAAACUGAAGUGUGAACACUGUGUAAGAUGUUAUAGUUCUUUCUGGGACUUUUGUGUCACAUUUUAUAGUAAUUUUUAUUGCACAGCACCACAUUCCUAAUACUUUGAAAAACUCAAACAAAAAACCCAAUACACCACAAGCAACAGUUAACAUUUACUAUUCACUUCUGCUUGUUUUGACAGAUCUGUUAACCAGGAACUUUUUCAGAUCUCUAUUUUUUGUGAAUAAGGCUAAGACUAUACUUCCUCACCAUAGCAUAUGCUAGAUUUUAAUGUUAAUUUUACUGUUCUUUCAUUUCACUUUUUCAAACCACAUCCAUUUAAGCUUUUUAAGCAUACUUAAAUAUACAAAUGUACUAAUUGUUGUUAUUAGAUCUAUCCUCUAAGAGGCUAAGUAUACUGAAUUACUACAUCAGGCAGUAGGAGAAGCUCUUCCAAAACUCCUGAGGUCCUCAGUACUUAAUGAGACGGGAUUUUAUAGCAUGCAUUAAAAUUGUUGUUACACACCAACAGCAUUCCCUCACGUGCACAGGUCCCUAAUGACAGCGUACAAGUCACACUGCAUGAGACAUGGUGUGUUCUACUGUAAUGUCACAAGGUUGACUUUCCCCGCUGAUAGACUACAACCACUGGGCAAGUACCAUUAAAAAAAAUUAAAAUUAUAAGAAUAAGAUAAAAUAAAUAUCAGCAUCUCUCUUUCCACAGCAGAACCUGUAUGAGAAGUCUCUAAUUCCCCCCUGCACACUGCCUGUGAAAGAGGUUCACAGACGUUGUCACUUUGCCAGCUGCAGCAUACCGCUCACGAGAAGCAUUCUAACGCUCUUUGGCACUGUGAGCACAACCACAUUUCUGCUGCUCCCAGUUUGCCUUAACACAGACUCUUCCCUAGAUGAGAAUUUAUUCCUGCUCCUGUAAAAGUUCAGCCUACGAAACACCAAGCAAGCUCUUCAGCUUCAGGAAGGAGCAGGCAUGCAGGCUGAAAAUACUCAGUGCUAGGCGAGCUGCUCCCUUCUGCUUUAUCUGUGAGCACAGGCAUUUUGGAAGCGUGUAUCUGCCCUAACACAUCCUUCAAAGGAGAGCAGUAUCUCUGGGUGCCAAAAGCCGAGUGACGGAGGCUGCUGUACCCCCAGAGAUACCUAUCGCUCCUCUCCUGCGGCAGGACACGCUGGAGGGGCCAUCAGUGUCCUUAACACAAGCCUGCAUGAAGCUCCAGGUGUGGCUGUGUCCCCAGUGACGCCAGGGACACAGGGUGUUCCCGGCUCUGAGAGCAGAUUAACGCGUACGGCUACAUGUGUGUUUACUUGACUGAGAUCCACAUUUAGACAUGUAUACAAGUGAACAAUCCCAUGCUGUUUACUGGGACAAGACUCCCACUGACUGCAGUGGGUAACUGUCUGCCUGCACAGCUGAGGAUUAAACCUUCAAACCUUCUGCCCAUGUGCACAUUUCUAACUCAUCAAAGAAAAAGGAAAAGCAAGUAUGCCCAUGUAACCGUGGAUCUCUCCAACACUUGGCUACAUUUGGAUUCCGAGAGCACGUGUGCCUUUUUAAUACUGUCAAAAGAAAGACUAAUGCUCAGCCCAUGUUUUUUGAACAAGAGUUUCUAAAUUUUGUUAUUCUAUAUGCAGAGUAGAUUUCUAUCUCUGACUUUAUAAGGCAAAACAAUUUUUUUGAAAUCACUUAAAAUUAUGCACACUGGAGGAACGUACACUUAUUAAAAGAAAUGGACUGUCAGAUCCUAAAAUAUCACUCUAACUGCUUCCAUUUGGAGAGAAAAUCUUUAUUGACAGUGAAAUGUGUUCUCCAGCUGGCUGAACAGUGCUCAGCCCAACACUUUUUGCAAUUCUUAUGCGUCUUCCCUAACCUUAGGGCCAACCCCAGCAUCAGUCUACUUCUACCAUACAAUUCAUAUUUGGAUGGCUGAUCCAGGACUCCAAACUCCAUCACUGGGCAGUGAGCUUGUUCCUUUUCUCCAUCAUUGGCCAAAACAUGUUGAGGUUACCCUGGUUUAUUUGGCAACUAUGCUGCUAGAGCUGUUUGGUCAAGCCAUAUGAGGAUUUCUGGCUUUGCAUCCAUCUGUCAAAAAUGCAGUAUAUGUUAUACAUGCUCCCAAGAAGUGCUCAUAUUCCCAAUAUUAUAAAAUGGUUUCCUAGAUGUCAGUAGUAUCACCACUCUAUUACUCUGACAAUUUUCCAAGUAUGGCAGGAGCUGGACUGUAGCCAUUAAAAUGUUGAUCCUAAGAAUACAAGGUAACAAACCAGACUACAGACUGCCGCCUUGAAAUGACCAAAAAAGCUGUCUCCUAACACACAUUAAACAGCAAAAGUUAAUUUUCCAUAAUAAAUUAAUCAGAUUUAAAGACAGUGUUGCAAGAAGUCGUGUAGGCAGCAUGACAUUUUCUAUGACAACUGGAUAACCUGGAUUCAUGGAAAAAAUGAUAGUAUGAGACAAUUUAAACACAAUCUCACAUAACUGUGAUGACUAAGUCAAUUUGAAUGUUUUCCCUGAAAAUGAUUCUUCUGUUUCUUCAAAGCAGAUACUGGAAGAUCAUACAUGACCUGGGAACUAGAACAGA
This is a long non-coding RNA of Motacilla alba alba, 9632 nucleotides long. RefSeq lists it as uncharacterized. NCBI's taxonomy places the organism in Eukaryota, Metazoa, Chordata, Aves, Passeriformes, Motacillidae. The record is from RefSeq and is a predicted model, not a curated record. The transcript has 2 exons.